AGUUCGUGGAGUAAUUUGUCUGGUUAAUUCCGUUAACGAACGAGACUUUAACUCGCUAAUUUGAACUCUGUGCGUGUCACGAUGUUCACUUAGAAGGACUGUAUGUUACCAACAUAAGGAAGCGUGAAGCAAUAACAGGU
Molecule: ribosomal RNA, 140 nt
Filed under: uncultured eukaryote
Lineage: Eukaryota
Description: partial small subunit ribosomal RNA
Rfam family: Eukaryotic small subunit ribosomal RNA
Source: RNAcentral